Podarcis lilfordi (Lilford's wall lizard) is the source of this 72-nucleotide non-coding RNA. The record is from the annotation of a GenBank genome assembly. Lineage: Eukaryota; Metazoa; Chordata; Lepidosauria; Squamata; Lacertidae.
GGCAGUUAGUUCAGUUGGUUAGAGCAUGGUGCUGAUAAGGCCAGGUUGUGGGUUCGAUCCCUGUACAGACCA